UACGGGGGGGGCAAGCGUUGUUCGGAAUUACUGGGCGUAAAGGGCUCGUAGGUGGCCAACUAAGUCAGACGUGAAAUCCCCAGGCUCAACUUGGGAACUGCGUCUGAUACUGGAUGGCUUGAAUUCGGGAGAGGGAUGCAGAAUUCCAGGUGUAGCGGUGAAAUGCGUAGAUAUCUGGAGGAAUACCGGUGGCGAAGGCGGCAUUCUGGACCGACAUUGACGCUGAGGAGCGAAAGCCAGGGGAGCAAACGGG
Molecule: ribosomal RNA, 253 nt
Filed under: uncultured bacterium
Lineage: Bacteria
Description: partial 16S ribosomal RNA
Rfam family: Bacterial small subunit ribosomal RNA
Source: RNAcentral